GCCCACCCCGCGCCGCCGCCGCCUAACCUCUUCAAAGCCCGCGCGCCGCUGCCCCCAACAACCACGGGCGUCGCCGUCCCCGGCAACCCCGGGCAUCGCCGUCCUCGGCAACCACCUGAGCCGCCGCCUCGGCAACCCAAGGGACCGCCGACACCGGCCUUCUCCCGCGAUGCCGCCGCCAGCCUCCUCCCGCGGCGCCACCGCCGGCCUCUGCCACUACGUGCAGUCGCGGCCCCCGCCGGCGCGCGAUCCGCAAUCACGCGACGCGUCGGCCCCAGCCACCGCGCGCGCCGGAAGCUAUAUCCAUCCCCCCUCCACUCCAACCAUCGCCUCAACGACUGGCGCAACAUUUCCUCUGCUCCGGCACGACCUUCCCCCCAUCCGGCGUGACCUUCCCUCCCCACCGGCGUGGACUGCCCUCUGCUCCGGUGUGCCCUCCCGCACCUCCACAGACCCAUCCCCAUCCUCCCUCGAACAUCUUCCUCCCGCCUACAGCCACCUGUGCCAACUCUACCCACUGCAUCUUCCUCCUUCCUCCCGCCGUUCAACUACAGCAACUCGCACCGUUCAACUAAAUCACCUAAUGCCUCCCAUCUCUAUUUUUCUCCUCAGCCAGCAGCGGAAACGCCGGCAACCGAGCCGUCUCCUCUAGAUGCUCUGCGUGCAGCCGCUGGCUUCUCGCACGAUGGACUUCCUCCCGCGCAGCCUGUGACCUCCUUACUCCCGGGCGGCUGCUAGCCAGCACUUGCAAAGUUGCAAUCUCGCCCACACAUUGUCCGAUGCCGCUUCAGACCCCUUUGGUACCGUUGCUUGAGAGCCCUGUGGUGUUGCUGCAAUUGCUUCAAAUUUUGACUUGUGCUACUACAUGUCUACUGGUUCCUUCCUCCAUCUGAUGUCGCUGAUGCUGCAGUUGUUCAACAUCACGCGGUUGUAGAGGGUACAUGGCAGGUCGAGUAGAUUUCUCAUGGUCGUUCGAAUAGAAAAUGGCAGCGACAUCGCGAUGGUCGGCGUCUAGAAUGCAUGGUCAAAACUAAAGUCUGAGUGUUGCUAGGUACAUUCAGAGUAAGACAUUUACAUUUUUUUUCAGGAAGACAUUUGUAAGUCUGAACAUAGUAUUCCCUUUAAAAAGAACUACAUCUCGUCAGACCACUUAUAUUCUUCUUCAGUAAAACAAGAUGAGUGCACUAACAUAUGUUGGCCUGGGAUGCAUCCAUGUGGAAUUGUAUGAAAAAAGGAAGGAACUGUCUAGGUGGAUGAGAAGUUCAAGUUGAAAUCUCCCCUACAGACACUUUGAUUUUUAUUUCCAUGUAUUCAGUUUUUAGAUGUUCUACAGUCUCUGAACAAAAUCUGUUCUUGUUUCAUCCACAGAACUUAUUUACAGUCCUUGAUCAGCAAUCACACUUUAAAUUUUACUAUUUCUGCAUUACACAAAAAAUGAAGGUGCCCUCCUAGCCAUGGUGAAAUCUUCCACAUCCCUGAUGAACAGCGGCAACCUCGAUUUACGACUCGCAGGUUUGCAAUCGUCCCAUGGUAAAGUUUUUGUUCCAAGUUUCUGUUCACAUGACAUUAUUUUUAUUGACAUUGUGGUAGGGAAAAAUAGUAUGUUUUUAUCGAAAAUCCUUGGGCGCUACUGUGGACUUGAGUAUCCUACGUAGGCAUGAUAUUCAAUAUUUACUUUAAUUAAAGUUCCAGUUUUAAGAGAAAAACAAGAUACCCUGCUCAUUUACCUAACUAUUACUCCCUCCGUUCCUAAAUAUAAGUCUUUGUAGAGAUUUCACUAUGAACCACAUACGGAUGUAUAUAGAUGCAUUUUAAGUGUAGAUUCACUCAUUUUGCUCCGUAUGUAGUCCACCUAGUGAAAUCUCUACAAAGACUUAUAUUUAGGAACGGAGGGAGUACAUUGAGAUACUGAACCACUUCAUCCUCAAUGCUCGUGCCCGAUCCCAACCUGCUGUCCCCAAAGACCGCAUAUACAUUGCAGUGCCCCUGCCCGUGCGCCACUGCCGUAACCUGCACCCUGCAAAAAAAAUGCAAGUUCAGAUUCAAAUAAACAAGAAGUUAAAAAGGUAUUGCCUUCACUCAUGUUGUUUUGCCAACGAUCUUUAGUUUGUUCAGUAGCUCGUAAACAAUUGCCAAAAGCUCGUAACUUCAGAAUCAUAAGUUGAUAGUUUGCCAACAGGGACAACCAUGCUGAUGGUGAUUGAAUAACGAUUCUGAAUUAUUGUUAUUGAGACUGAAGGCCACGUUUUAUGCAUGAUGUGGCAGGAUUCCAGGGAUUGUUUUGAGGCGGUCGAUGGCUUUUGAGAGAUGUGUUCAUACUUAUAAGUUUGAAGGUGUUCAAAGCUCAUUUAUACAAGGAGGAACGGAAAUUUGGUUGCACAUCUGUUUGCGAAAAAGAGCACUAAAACUAGAUGUACUUUCUAUUUCUUUAUUUGUAACCCCCUACCUACCUGAUAGAGACUAUUCAAUUAGAGUUAGUUUUGCCUCAAUAAUGCAGUGGCAAGACAUUAGUUUUUAAAAGAAAGACUAGGUGC
This 2534-nucleotide ribosomal RNA is filed under the name Triticum aestivum (bread wheat). RNAcentral's name for it is "partial small subunit ribosomal RNA". Lineage: Eukaryota; Viridiplantae; Streptophyta; Magnoliopsida; Poales; Poaceae. The record is from RNAcentral.